AAUUUAUAAAAUGUAUAAAUGUUAUAUUUAAAACAAUAUUUCAAUAAUGUACACAUAAAUUUGUGAAUGUUACUUUGAAUGAAAUUUACGACUUUUUGUGAAUGUUACAAGUGCUCCUUCAAAAAUAUGUUCGCAUAGCAAGUAAUAUGGUGGUGGGACAGUGAGCCAGAAGUGGUGGUCCAAUAUUGGGAAAUCGGGUUAAAAUAACCCAAAGCAGCCUUUACCUCUGUAAAUAUAAAUAACAACAUUUCCUGCUGAUUCAGAUCAACAUGAGGAAUCAGAUGUAUGAGGAGAAAGAUAAAAGAUCCAGAUGUCCUCCUGAUGUCACAGAGAGAAGUGCUUGUGAAACUGUCUGAACUGGCUUUCAAACAGCUGAUGAAGGGUAACGUGAUGUUUUAUGAGGAAGACCUGAAAGAGUGCGGCAUUGACCGAGGUCUCUGUGUAUUCUGGGAUCUGCACCGAGAUCUUUGAGGAAUCAGUGACUCUUCCAAGGCUUCUUGACACACACGGAAGAAAGCUCAAAGAGUCUUGAGAACGUGAUCCAGAACCUUAAAUGGGUUCAUAAAAACAACGUCAGCCCAGAGAGAUGGAUAAUUGAUCAAAUAGAUGGAUCAAAAUUGAAGAUAAAAAAAUGAAGCACAAUUCAGUUGUAGAAGAAAUACACAUGUUUUUACAAUCAAAAAUAAAACGUGUCUGUUACACAGUGUUUGGCUUUGGCGACUAUGACCAGUUGUCAGAGAAGAGGCUGGAGGAGUUUAACAUUAAAUCAAGGGAUGGUCGCGACUCGAGAGGCGGCUGGUGCCAGCGGUGUGGAACUGCAGAAACGCUGUGUUCAGAUUGCUGAGCUGUAACCUCGCUAACAAGAGUUAUGAAAUGUUGACAUCAGCUCUACAAUCCUCAAUCUCCUCUGAGAGAGCUGGACCUGAGUGACAGCGAUCUGCAGGAUUCAGGAGUGAAGCUCAUCUCUGAUGGACUGAAGAGCUCAAGCUGUCGACUAGAGAUACUGAGAUUAUCUGGCUGUAUGGUGACAGAGGAAGGCUGUGGUUAUCUGGUUUCAGCUCUGAAUACAAACCCGUCCCAUCUGAGAGAGUUGGACCUGAGCUACAAUCACCCCGGGACCCU
This is a long non-coding RNA of Triplophysa rosa, 1122 nucleotides long. RefSeq lists it as uncharacterized. The transcript has 3 exons. Lineage: Eukaryota; Metazoa; Chordata; Actinopteri; Cypriniformes; Nemacheilidae. The record is from RefSeq and is a predicted model, not a curated record.